RNAcentral lists this transfer RNA (76 nucleotides) under Planctomycetaceae bacterium. RNAcentral describes it as "tRNA-Lys". It matches the Rfam family "tRNA". From Rfam's summary of the family: Transfer RNA (tRNA) molecules are approximately 80 nucleotides in length. Their secondary structure includes four short double-helical elements and three loops (D, anti-codon, and T loops). Lineage: Bacteria; Pseudomonadati; Planctomycetota; Planctomycetia; Planctomycetales; Planctomycetaceae. The record is from RNAcentral. RNAcentral also lists the same sequence under 1 other name.
GCCUCCUUAGCUCAGUUGGUAGAGCAGCUGACUCUUAAUCAGCGGGUCGAAGGUUCGAGUCCUUCAGGAGGCACCA